RNAcentral lists this ribosomal RNA (253 nucleotides) under uncultured bacterium. RNAcentral describes it as "partial 16S ribosomal RNA". It matches the Rfam family "Bacterial small subunit ribosomal RNA", at positions 524 to 776 of the family's 1533-position model. The record is from RNAcentral.
UACGUAGGGUGCGAGCGUUGUCCGGAAUUACUGGGCGUAAAGAGCUCGUAGGUGGUUUGUCGCGUUGUCCGUGAAAACUCACAACUCAAUUGUGGGCGUGCGGGCGAUACGGGCAGACUGGAGUACUGCAGGGGAGACUGGAAUUCCUGGUGUAGCGGUGGAAUGCGCAGAUAUCAGGAGGAACACCGGUGGCGAAGGCGGGUCUCUGGGCAGCAACUGACGCUGAGGAGCGAAAGCGUGGGGAGCGAACAGG